This 28-nucleotide non-coding RNA is filed under the name Mus musculus (house mouse). Lineage: Eukaryota; Metazoa; Chordata; Mammalia; Rodentia; Muridae. The record is from RNAcentral.
UGGGUGUCACUCUGUACUAUCGUUAUUC